GAGGGUGUAGCUCAGUGGUAGAGCACAUGCUUAGCAUGCACAAGGUCCUAGGUUCAAUCCUCAGUACCUCCA
Molecule: transfer RNA, 72 nt
Filed under: Camelus bactrianus (Bactrian camel)
Lineage: Eukaryota; Metazoa; Chordata; Mammalia; Artiodactyla; Camelidae
Also listed under: 3 other names
Rfam family: tRNA
About the family: Transfer RNA (tRNA) molecules are approximately 80 nucleotides in length.
Source: Rfam by way of RNAcentral